RNAcentral lists this ribosomal RNA (787 nucleotides) under uncultured bacterium. RNAcentral's name for it is "bacterial SSU rRNA". It matches the Rfam family "Bacterial small subunit ribosomal RNA", at positions 8 to 796 of the family's 1533-position model. The record is from RNAcentral.
AGAGUUUGAUCAUGGCUCAGAUUGAACGCUGGCGGAAUGCUUUACACAUGCAAGUCGAGCGGCAGCGCGGGGCAACCUGGCGGCGAGCGGCGAACGGGUGAGUAAUGCAUCGGAACAUGUCCAUUCGUGGGGGAUAGCCCGGCGAAAGCCGGAUUAAUACCGCAUAAGCCCUUAGGGGGAAAGCCGGGGACCGCAAGCCUGGCGCGAAUGGGUUGGCCGAUGCCCGAUUAGCUAGUUGGUGAGGUAAAGGCUUACCAAGGCGAUGAUCGGUAGCUGGUCUGAGAGGAUGAUCAGCCACACUGGGACUGAGACACGGCCCAGACUCCUACGGGAGGCAGCAGUGGGGAUUUUGGACAAUGGGGGCAACCCUGAUCCAGCCAUUCCGCGUGAGUGAAGAAGGCCUUCGGGUUGUAAAGCUCUUUUGUCCGGAGCGAAAAGGUUACGGUGAAUAUCCGUGACUACUGACGGUACCGGAAGAAUAAGCACCGGCUAACUACGUGCCAGCAGCCGCGGUAAUACGUAGGGUGCGAGCGUUAAUCGGAAUUACUGGGCGUAAAGCGUGCGCAGGCGGUUUUGUAAGCCAGAUGUGAAAUCCCCGGGCUUAACCUGGGAAUGGCAUUUGGGACUGCAAGGCUGGAGUUUGGCAGAGGAGACUGGAAUUCCUGGUAGCAGUGAAAUGCGUAGAUAUCAGGAGGAAUACCGAUGGCGAAGGCAGGUCUCUGGGCUAUAACUGACGCUCAUGCACGAAAGCGUGGGGAGCAAACAGGAUUAGAUACCCUAGUAGUCC